GCCAGCAUUGUGUAGUGGUUUGAACACUAGACUACAGCUCUGGAGCCAGCAUUCAAAUCCCUGAUCAGCCA
Non-coding RNA from Phrynosoma platyrhinos (Desert horned lizard), 71 nucleotides. The record is from the annotation of a GenBank genome assembly. Lineage: Eukaryota; Metazoa; Chordata; Lepidosauria; Squamata; Phrynosomatidae.